Long non-coding RNA from Suricata suricatta (meerkat), 1601 nucleotides. RefSeq lists it as uncharacterized. Lineage: Eukaryota; Metazoa; Chordata; Mammalia; Carnivora; Herpestidae. The record is from RefSeq and is a predicted model, not a curated record. The transcript is spliced from 3 exons.
UGCAGUGAGGAAGUGUAAUGUCACAUGCGACAUUUACAGGAAACUGGCUAGAAGAUUGCAGGGGAACUUGAGAACUUGUCGUUUUCAGCGGACUAACACAACACAGCAAAGGAGGAAGGAACAAACAACAAAUUAAUCAGACAGGAAGCGAAUAACCACAGAAAGACGUCUGCCUCUGACUCAGUAUGUCACAUUUAACAAGAGGCCAGAGCUCGUCCAAAAUGGCUGUUUAAAAACGACCCCGCACUUGCCUUAGAAGAUGAUGCCUUUUUCAGCGACUGUUUUCUCUCUGGGCUCACAUCUUGCUUGUCUGUCUACCUGUGUCCCUGAUCAUGCCUCCCUACGGUAUUCUUUAACGUUGCUCUUACAGUGAAACUGUGAAUUUGUGUACUACUAAUCAUGACAUUGUAGAUGUUUCAACAUGUCUUCUCCGAAAAAUGCUUUUGCCACUCCCCCCUUCAAAAUUAACUGUUUAUCUAAAUGAACUCGAAAGGAAGUAUUUCUGAACUAGCCAAGGACACUCUAAAUGCAGCAAGUCACAAACCCUUACCAUUGAGGAGACAGGCUAUAGGCAGAAUUCACUUAAGUUAUCGUCUUAAAUGAUGAUCAAGAAAAGAGCAAGUGCGUUUUCAGAAGGGAGGGGUUCUGCCGGUGUUCCAACUGGGAUUGAGAAGAACGGAGAUCCCUAACUAGGUGAGGCUGCCACUUUGCUUAAAGCUUGUUUCUCUUCUCCACCUUCUGCUUCCUCUUGACUUGAGCCAUCUUUUGUUUUUCCUCUUUAUGUUGAUUGCCUCAUUGCCUACAGCCCUCUGAGCCUGAGCCUGCUGGAGAAGAGUUCACAGUAACAGAAACAGACUUCAUGCAAAGAUAUUAAAAGUUUCUAAAAUGACCAUAUGACAUGCUGGGGCUGGGGGAAGUGGAGCCCAGAGAGGUUGCGCUGUGACUUGUAUCAUAAAAUAGAAACUACAGGCAAGUGCAGCUGUGAAAAGGUUGUGCUGAAGAAACAGGAUGGCUGUGGUUUACUGUGAGCAUCAAUUUUCCUGUUGAGCAUUUUUACAGGAAGUUAAAGAACAAAGCCAACUUCAUCGUAAUUAGUUCUAAUGGUUUUCAGACCUUAAGCACAUCCAGCUAAGUUUGCAUCAUGCAGGAGUCUCUAAAGAAUAGAAUCUAUAAUCAUGAUGAUAGGAACCUCCAAACUAUGGGCUUUUAAAAAUUCAGGAUUUUAGUAGCCAUUUGAGUUUGCUAAAUGGUUUUAUUUUUACAGUGUAACUUGGAGUGGAUUCAUUGCCUUUAUAAUGAAUGCUUCUAACAGUAAUUUUUCAUGGUUGUAAAUAACUCAAUAUGAAUUUAAGAGCCUUUUCUUAUUAAAACACUGUUGAGGCAUAUAUAACUUAAUAUUUAUUGGUCAAACAAGUGCGCAUGUGUGUACAGAGAGACAGAGGAGGGAGGGGUGUGUGUGUGUUUAUAAGCUGGAAGGACAUACAUGAAAGUGUUUAGAAUAGCUGUAAAUUAUCUGUAUUAUGAUUAAUCCCAGUGCUUUUUCACCUAAAAUUUAAUUAUUAUUAUUUUUUAAAUUAAUUCAUUUAUUUUGAGAAAGAGAA